RNAcentral lists this long non-coding RNA (4893 nucleotides) under Canis lupus familiaris (dog). RNAcentral describes it as "lncRNA (ENSCAFG00000055647.1)". The record is from RNAcentral. Lineage: Eukaryota; Metazoa; Chordata; Mammalia; Carnivora; Canidae.
AAACCAGGCUUGAUCUCACAACCCUGAGAUCACAACCUCAGCCAAAACCAAGAAUUGCCCACUUAAUCCAUUGCACCACCCAGGUGCCCCCUAAACAUUAUUUCUAAUGGCUUCAUAAUAUUCCAUUAUAAUGACAUAUCCAUCAGAAUCACUUAUAAAUUACUUUCAGCCCAGUCACACCACUGGAUGUUUAGGCUAUUUCUAACUUCUAAUCACUUUAGUAACAGUUAAAAAAAAAACUCUGAAUAAUCUCUGUGCAUAAACAUCAUCUAACAUUUUGGAUAUGGUCUUAGCUGUACCUCCACCUCCAAAAGUGAAAUAAACUUACCAGAAUGUACGAACAAUUCAAAUUUUUAAAACUAAAUCAGACUUUCUAUUUAUCCCUUACUGAAUUUCUUUUCUAAUUUGGGCCUUCGUUCUGGAUGACUGUGAACCCUGAUCUAUCAACUAAAAAAGCAACCUGUCCCAACUCUGUGCCAUCAACAAAGCUGACAAACACACCUUCUGUAUCACGAUCCACAACACUGGAAAAGAUGUUGAGUAGCUCAAGGCCAAAAAUAGAACCCUGCAACACUAAUUUUCAGACCCCAUUCCAGGUUGACUCAGUGCCACUAGUUAACAGUUUUUGCGUAUGACUGUCAAAUUAAUAACACCACCCAGCCCACAUUCUACCGCUUAUUUAAUACAGACCAUCACAUCUUAAGAAACUGUUAAAUACUUUACCAAAGCCAGAGUGCACCAUAGCUACUGCCUCAUUCCUCUGUUCUAGUAACAGAACCACCAUAUAAAACAGGAAAUGGAUUCAAUUUGAUACCGUUAGGCUGACUUUUGAUUAUCCUUACACCCUACCACCACACAUUUUUAACCAAAGAGCACUUCAGCUCUGACUUCUAUUACUGCCACAACAGCAACAGUUUAAGUAAUCAGAUUGUGCAACCUGUAGCUCACCUGGGGAAAUGCUCAGAAUCACUGAUGGUUAUGAACUUCCAGGGUAAACCAAACUGUCUCUAGACCAGAGUCCUGAAUUUACUCACUUCAGCUGGUCCUAAAAUAAGCCUAGUUUUCCAGGGGUCAUUUGCACAAACACCUGGGCUUAAACCAAUAAUUCCGCGGUCAUUUUGAAUCCUGGAUUAUAAAUCUCUGAACCCUAGAGGCCUACCCCCUGGGGGUUUCUUACGACUAGUGAAAUAAGAAAUGACAGAGCCCCUCUCUUUGCUCUUCCUUUACUACUGACUCAUACAACCAAAGAUCCUGAGAAUCUAAUGUCAUAUGGCAUUUGACAGUGGUGACUCACAUCUCCCCAAAUUAUUACCCCAACAUCAUUCUCAGAAGAUACAUGCCAGGAGCCACCAUCUACUGAUGCCAGCCAGAAGUAGAAAAUGGGAGGGCUUGAGAAAUCUUGAGGUCACUAGAAAUUGGCCUCACAAUACAUAACACAGCCCAAAGCCCUAAUUAGUACCAUUCCAAUCAUCAGAAAAAUCUUUCAAAGUCCUAGCCAGCAGUAACUCAGAAAGUGCUGGCCUUUUGGCUUGCCUAAAACAAAUUACUUGCACACAAAUAUCUCAGAUUCCAACAUGUCACACUCCUACCCAAAUCCCCCAGUGGCCACUCAAAGCCAGGACAGCCAUCCCAAAUUCCCUAGGUUGGCAUUUAAAGUCUCUUGAAAGAUCCGGUCACAAACCCAAAGGCCUGCCGGACUAAACAAGAAAUAUAGAGCAACCACACUCGUGCAACAGGGAAUGCUGGCACAAUGACAACUGGCGACCAUAGGACCCGUCUCCUGUCCACAGGGGUUCACCAUUGCUCACUGCCUGAUCUGAUUCUUUAACGGAGUCCCAAAUCCAGAGGUUUUCUGGAUUGUUCCAAUUCUUUCAAACCUUUGUGUUCUCCAAAUUAUAACACUUCUGUAGGUAGAACACGUUCUCUGGGUCUCUGGUUUACAACCCCUAUAUUUUGAUCCUAACCAACCUUUCCAGACUGGCUUCUCCCCACUCUUUAACAAGAACCCUCUAUUUCAUCCUAACCCCAAGCCUUCGUCCAGGUUACACACACACACACACACACACACACACCUGCAGGGCACCAUGCAACACCUCAGAGGGUUCAUCCCAGACUUCCUUCUCUAUCCCCAAAAGUUUUCCCAAGCUACUCCAGCCCAAGCUGCUUGCCCCCUCUUAUGAACCUGACAGGUGCUUAUUUUUCCCUUUGGCAUUUAAUCAUCUUGCCUUGCUCCUUAAUCAUCGGUAUACCUUAUCUCUCCAACUAGCCUGUAAAUGUUCAAUCUCUUCCUCAUGCUUCCUUCCACUUACAGCACUGGUAAGGGGAGCCCUGCACAUGAGCAGCUUAAUAAACAUUUACUAGAUGUGAAAACGCUCCAUAACUGUGUUUUUCAAACUCUGGGUUAUAUCCAUGACAGAGUGGUUAAGUCAACUUAUUGGGAGACAGUGAGCUUUUUUAAAUGAAAAAUAAAAGAAUAGAAAAUAAAAGCACCCAAGGAGACUGCACCAAGCAAAAGAAAGGAGUACUUCAAGAACUUAAAUUAGAUUUUUACAUACAUGAUUUCGUGUACCUGGGUCAUGAUGUCAAUUUUAUUUCUUAAUGUAGGUCACAGACAAAAAAAAAAGUGCAAAACACACACACACACACACACACACUACUGUUUGAAGAAUAAAUUAGCUCAACCAUCGCUCCGUGAAAUUUUUUUGACAGUCAUAUAUUCCCUAUAAAGGAAAAAUAUCUGACGGCCGCCUCUGCCCACGCAAGGCAGCUUUCCCCUGCUAGUUCACUGAUCCUGCAUCUCAGAGAAACAAGGAGGCUCAAGGACUGUAAGUACGUUCUCCACUCCAUUCUGCAACUUUUUGCAAUCAUCCUUCAAAUUCGCCAGCCCUCAGAUGUUGCAAGUUGAGGCUUGGGGAAUUUGCUCAGCAAAUCACCCUAAGUCACCCUUGCAACAAGAAAGCGGAAUUCAGAGCUCAGGAAAAAACCGGCACCAGCUCCCCCGCUGCAGGUCGCUCUGUUCCUGAGAACUGGCAAUGGCAUGGGUUAGGACAGAUCUGGCCCUGGGAAGGGCAGUAUCCCUUGCUGGUCACUGUGCAGCUCCCCUGCCUUGUGGCUUCCCCACACCCACACCACCAUCCCCCCAAACACACCUAGGAAGGGACACCGGGAUAGCCUGAAGGUCUCAGUGGAGAGCAUAAUUCAACCGGUUUCAAAGCCCAAUAAUUUUUGUGUUUAGCAAAUUCCAUUCUUCCCUCCAAUCUCCAAUCCCAAGUUACUUUGCCAACUUCAGGACCAAGCAAUGUCAUCUGAAUGACAAUCAGAACAGACGUUUCCAAUUCAGACCCUCAGUCCCACUCACUAGCAUCCUCCACUGCUGGGACCUAUGACCUACGACCAAGACAACAUCCCACUCAACGUGUCUUCCCUCUCCUGGCUUUGGCAGCCUGGUUUCCCACCAAUCGCAGAGCUUCAGUUGCUUGCAAGACACCUAUGUUUGGACGUCUUGGCAAAUACAAGAAACCUCUGUAGCCUGUCAAUUGCUUCUCUCCAAAAUACACAUUUCCGAUUUCUCGAGUUACCAACUACAGCAGUUCCAAGGCCCUGGCGUGUAAUCAAUUUCCACAAAGAAUUAAUUUCCAUUCAUCUCCUUCCUUCACCCUGCCCCUGUCAACAGAUUAUUUCAACAGUAAUGCUUCUAAAAUCCACCCUCUUUCCCAUUUCCAGUUAUCCCAGUCCAAACUCUGAGCACUCUACAACUGUAACUGUCUACUGAUUUGUCUCUGAACAUUACUUUUAAAAACCUUUCCAAAUACCCUUUUAUUACGUCACUCUCUGGCUCAAAAAUCUUUAAUGUCUCCCCAGUACACACAGGGUAAAGUGCAAUUCCCCAGUCUGGCUUUCUAGGACUUUCACAAUCUUAACCAUUGUUCCUCUGCAUCUUUAUCUCCUGCUCAGGAAACGUUCCCUCGUCUGGCCAAGCCCAUCUCCUGUCUCUCAGGAAGGCCAUGGUCAAUCGCACCUCAUGACCCAUCUCGAGGGUCUCAUCCUCAGGAAUACAUUUCUAGUGAUUCCUGUGCAUAGCACUCUUCUCCGAGCUCCAACAGCACCUCUUCUAUACCUCAUAUUUUGACAGCUAAUUGUGUUUCAUCUUUAUUUUUUUUUUUUUUAUUUGAGAGAGAAAGGCAGAGGGAGAAGCAGGCUCCGUGCUGAGCAGGGAGCCCAACAUGGGGCUCGAUCCCAGGACCCAGGGAUCAUGACCUGAGCUGAAGGUAGACACUCAACCAACUGAGCCACCCAGGUGCCCCUGUGCCUUAUCUCGAGGUCUUCUUUCACGUGCUCAAGGAUUUGUCUUCUCCAUGAGAUUAUAAACCCUGGAAGGAAUCAUCUCAUGUAUCUUUUGUAUCCUCCCUCACUGAAAUAACUGUUUGAACCUAUUCUCCUCGGGCAAUACCUCUGCAACCUCUGGCACCUGUUACUUCUCUCCCUCUCUUGCCUUUGGGCCUUGGCCAGUGGGUAAUAUAUUCUCCAAGUGCCUAACUUUAUUUCAUAACUUAGUACCCUAAAUCCAUUCCCCAACUCUAACCUUUCCUUUGAUAUUCCUCCUCCCACCUCCCCACCCCCAGCAUCUACAGUAAUUUAGGCAGCCACAGCACAUUAAUUUGAACUUGAGCUCUCAAAUCACUUCCACCUGGUCAGUAGGAUUUCUGAGGCCUUAGAUUUCUUGUGUGCCUCCUAUCAUCUCUCCCUCAGAGCCUGGCACAGUCCUGGAACACAGCAGCCCCUCAAAAGUACCUGUGGAGUUGAACUUAAUUGCUGUUUCCCUGUGUUUCAAAUUCCUUGAGACCCAGAACCUCUGUUUACACAACACCUCAGGAGGGUGUCAAGAAAAAAAAA